GGAAGUGAAAAGGCCGCUGGUGGGUCUCCUGGACUUCAAAUCCAGUGUCCCCGAUUAAUAAUCGGGGAGGUGGGUUCGAUUCCCAUUCACUUCCGCCA
RNAcentral lists this transfer RNA (98 nucleotides) under Deltaproteobacteria bacterium. RNAcentral describes it as "tRNA-Sec". It matches the Rfam family "Selenocysteine transfer RNA". Lineage: Bacteria; Pseudomonadati; Myxococcota; Myxococcia. The record is from RNAcentral.